AUUUAAUAAUAUAGUGGACCUAGUCCACCUUACAUUGAAUGACCUCCACUAUUAUCACUAUGGGCCCUCUGGGCCCCCCCACUACCUCUCUAGCUACCUUACAGAUGGUCCCUGUGGAUGCUGACACAAUGUGAUUUAUACCCAGUGCUCUACAUGUGAAAGUGAAUAAAUUCAACCAAGCGUGGGUAAACGACGAGAGUAACUAUGACUCUCUUAAGGUAGUCAAAUGACUAGUCAUCUAAUUAGUGAAAUUCAUGAAUGAAUUAACAAUAUUCCCACUAACCCUAGAUACUAUAUAUAGAAACCAAAGCCAACAAAUAUU
Picea glauca (white spruce) is the source of this 322-nucleotide non-coding RNA. NCBI's taxonomy places the organism in Eukaryota, Viridiplantae, Streptophyta, Pinopsida, Pinales, Pinaceae. The record is from Rfam.